UAACGGAGGUACGGUUUGACUCCUCGGCGUCACGGACGACGCUCGGCGGCGUGCUUAACACAUGCAAGUCGAACGGAAAGGCCCUGCUUUUGUGGGGUGCUCGAGUGGCGAACGGGUGAGUAACACGUGAGUAACCUGCCCUUGACUUUGGGAUAACUUCAGGAAACUGGGGCUAAUACCGGAUAGGAGCUCCUGCUGCAUGGUGGGGGUUGGAAAGUUUCGGCGGUUGGGGAUGGACUCGCGGCUUAUCAGCUUGUUGGUGGGGUACGUGGCUUACCAAGGCUUUGACGGGGUAGCCGGGCCUGAGAGGGUGACCGGCCACAUUGGGACUGAGAUACGGCCCAGACUCCUACGGGAGGCAGGCAGUGGGGAAUAUUGCACAAUGGGCGGAAGCCUGAUGCAGCAACGCCGCGUGCGGGAUGACGGCCUUCGGGUUGUAAACCGCUUUCGCCUGUGACGAAGCGUGAGUGACGGUAAUGGGUAAAGAAGCACCGGCUAACUACGUG
RNAcentral lists this ribosomal RNA (506 nucleotides) under uncultured Propionibacterium sp. RNAcentral's name for it is "bacterial SSU rRNA". It matches the Rfam family "Bacterial small subunit ribosomal RNA", at positions 1 to 507 of the family's 1533-position model. The record is from RNAcentral. Lineage: Bacteria; Bacillati; Actinomycetota; Actinomycetes; Propionibacteriales; Propionibacteriaceae.